Zonotrichia albicollis (white-throated sparrow) is the source of this 390-nucleotide non-coding RNA. NCBI's taxonomy places the organism in Eukaryota, Metazoa, Chordata, Aves, Passeriformes, Passerellidae. The record is from RefSeq and is a predicted model, not a curated record.
CGGAGCGGGAUGUGGUGGCCACGGUGGAGCGGGAAUUUGGGAAGUUGGAAUCCUUCAUCAGCCAGGUCCUGGAUGAAGCCGUCGUCACCAAGGAGCUCUGGAAAUCCCUGGGAUGCAAAUUCACCGAUGUGCUGUGUGUUCCCGAGCGGAGGCUCCUGGAGGACAGCCGGAACCUUCCCAUCGCGUCCGGCGCCGCCCGCUCCGAGCGGCUCCUGCUCUUCGACGACGUCCUGGUGCUCAUCCAGGGAAACAGCUUCCAGAGUUUUGAUCUGAAGCUGGUGUGGGUGGAUGAAAACUGCGGAGAGAAAUCGGCUCCGGGACUGCACAGCCUACGCAUCACAACCCCGGAGGAGACCUUCGUCCUCUCCACCAAGGACCCUCAGACCAAGG